This is a long non-coding RNA of Momordica charantia (bitter melon), 715 nucleotides long. RefSeq lists it as uncharacterized. The record is from RefSeq and is a predicted model, not a curated record. Lineage: Eukaryota; Viridiplantae; Streptophyta; Magnoliopsida; Cucurbitales; Cucurbitaceae.
CUUAAUUUUCCUCUAAGUGACCAUCUGCGCAGCUAAAAAUUGAGCUGCUCCUUGUUGAAUCCGCUCCAAGUUGGUUCGGCAGAUGUCAACUCCCGGAACAACAUCCAAGCCUUCGUCCUACUUUGAGUAUACACUUUUCCAGAGUUUUGUUGCGGAUUCAAUCAUCCAACCUUCUCUGGUUAUAGUCUACUUUGGCGGUCUUCUUCCUUUUCCAGGCGGUAGUCACGUGCCACUUCCUCAAUUCAUCGAUAACAUGACCAAGAUUGCCUGCCAUAUCAAGAGCCUCCUGACAACAUUCGCAGCAUCUUCCUUACACCACUGCCGGUAUGAGAAAAGAUUAUACUCAAAUUGCGGAAAAAAUAUUAUAUAUAUUUAUAUAUUUUGUCAUUUCGGGAUGGAGUCCAUUUUACAGAAGAACGAAGCCAAGUAGUUUUUGAUGAAAUAAGACGGCGAUUAAUCGGGCGAAUUGGGUACCAAGUUUGGCUGUGGGAUCCAUGCGAAUUGAAUUCGAAAAUAUCGUAUGACUACGUUCCUUUGCCUUUGAAGGAUCGAACAUCAUUCUAGAUUAAUUUUCACUACCGCUCUAUGUUCUCUUUUUAGGCUUCAAUAAAGGACUGAUUGUGGAUGAGAUCCAAACUUAUAAAUUAUUGUUUAUGCUUUAAUUAGUUGAAUUGUGUUAUGUUAAAAUAGUUUAGCCAACAAUAAUUAUCUAUAU